Molecule: ribosomal RNA, 392 nt
Filed under: uncultured bacterium
Lineage: Bacteria
Description: partial 16S ribosomal RNA
Rfam family: Bacterial small subunit ribosomal RNA
Source: RNAcentral
AUACGUAGGAUCCGAGCGUUAUCCGGAUUUAUUGGGUUUAAAGGGUGCGCAGGCGGCCAUUUAAGUCAGCGGUUAAAUCGUGGGGCUCAACCCCAUUCUGCCGUUGAUACUGGGUGGCUUGAUUGCGGUCGAGGUUGGCGGAAUUCGUUGUGUAGCGGUGAAAUGCAUAGAUAUGACGAAGAACACCGAUUGCGUAGGCAGCUGACCAGACCGCAAAUGACGCUCAUGCACGAAAGUGCGGGGAUCGAACAGGAUUAGAUACCCUGGUAGUCCGCACAGUAAACGAUGAAUACUUGUUUUCGGCGAUAUAAUGUCGGAGGCAAAGCGAAAGCGAUAAGUAUUUCACCUGGGGAGUACGCCGGCAACGGUGAAACUCAAAGGAAUUGACGGGG